Small nuclear RNA from Myotis daubentonii (Daubenton's bat), 104 nucleotides. Lineage: Eukaryota; Metazoa; Chordata; Mammalia; Chiroptera; Vespertilionidae. The record is from RefSeq and is a predicted model, not a curated record.
GUGCUCACUUUGGCAGCACAUAUACUAAAACUGGAACAAUAUAGAGAUUAGCGUGGCCCCUGAACAAGGAUGACACGCAAAUUCAUGAAGCGUUCCAUAUUAAA